RNAcentral lists this ribosomal RNA (316 nucleotides) under uncultured Methanomicrobiales archaeon. Its description in RNAcentral is "bacterial SSU rRNA". It matches the Rfam family "Archaeal small subunit ribosomal RNA", at positions 1028 to 1338 of the family's 1478-position model. Lineage: Archaea; Methanobacteriati; Methanobacteriota; Methanomicrobia; Methanomicrobiales. The record is from RNAcentral.
GUUAAGUCAGGCAACGAGCGAGACCCACGCCAACAGUUGCCAGCUCGGUCCUCCCGGGGAGUGGUGGGGACGACUGUUGGGACCGCCUCUGCUAAAGAGGAGGAAGGAAUGGGCAACGGUAGGUCAGCAUGCCCCGAAUUAUCUGGGCUACACGCGGGCUACAAUGGGUGGGACAAUGGGUAUCGACACCGAAAGGUGAAGGCAAUCUCCUAAACCCAUCCGUAGUUCGGAUUGUGGGCUGCAACUCGCCCACAUGAAGCUGGAAUCUGUAGUAAUCGUGUCUCAAAAUGGCACGGUGAAUAUGUCCCUGCUCCUU